This 1371-nucleotide ribosomal RNA is filed under the name uncultured bacterium. RNAcentral describes it as "bacterial SSU rRNA". It matches the Rfam family "Bacterial small subunit ribosomal RNA", at positions 28 to 1381 of the family's 1533-position model. The record is from RNAcentral.
GAUGAACGCUGGCGGCGUGCCUAAUACAUGCAAGUCGAGCGAACGGACGAGAAGCUUGCUUCUCUGAUGUUAGCGGCGGACGGGCGAGUAACACGUGGAUAACCUACCUAUAAGACUGGGAUAACUUCGGGAAACCGGAGCUAAUACCGGAUGAUAUUUUGAACCGCAUGGUUCAAAAGUGAAAGACGGUCUUGCUGUCACUUAUAGAUGGAUCCGCGCUGCAUUAGCUAGUUGGUAAGGUAACGGCUUACCAAGGCAACGAUGCAUAGCCGACCUGAGAGGGUGAUCGGCCACACUGGAACUGAGACACGGUCCAGACUCCUACGGGAGGCAGCAGUAGGGAAUCUUCCGCAAUGGGCGAAAGCCUGACGGAGCAACGCCGCGUGAGUGAUGAAGGUCUUCGGAUCGUAAAACUCUGUUAUUAGGGAAGAACAUAUGUGUAAGUAACUGUGCACAUCUUGACGGUACCUAAUCAGAAAGCCACGGCUAACUACGUGCCAGCAGCCGCGGUAAUACGUAGGUGGCAAGCGUUAUCCGGAAUUAUUGGGCGUAAAGCGCGCGUAGGCGGUUUUUUAGUCUGAUGUGAAAGCCCACGGCUCAACCGUGGAGGGUCAUUGGAAACUGGAAAACUUGAGUGCUGAAGAGGAAAGUGGAAUUCCAUGUGUAGCGGUGAAAUGCGCAGAGAUAUGGAGGAACACCAGUGGCGAAGGCGACUUUCUGGUCUGUAACUGACGCUGAUGUGCGAAAGCGUGGGGAUCAAACAGGAUUAGAUACCCUGGUAGUCCACGCCGUAAACGAUGAGUGCUAAGUGUUAGGGGGUUUCCGCCCCUUAGUGCUGCAGCUAACGCAUUAAGCACUCCGCCUGGGGAGUACGACCGCAAGGUUGAAACUCAAAGGAAUUGACGGGGACCCGCACAAGCGGUGGAGCAUGUGGUUUAAUUCGAAGCAACGCGAAGAACCUUACCAAAUCUUGACAUCCUUUGACAACUCUAGAGAUAGAGCCUUCCCCUUCGGGGGACAAAGUGACAGGUGGUGCAUGGUUGUCGUCAGCUCGUGUCGUGAGAUGUUGGGUUAAGUCCCGCAACGAGCGCAACCCUUAAGCUUAGUUGCCAUCAUUAAGUUGGGCACUCUAAGUUGACUGCCGGUGACAAACCGGAGGAAGGUGGGGAUGACGUCAAAUCAUCAUGCCCCUUAUGAUUUGGGCUACACACGUGCUACAAUGGACAAUACAAAGGGCAGCGAAACCGCGAGGUCAAGCAAAUCCCAUAAAGUUGUUCUCAGUUCGGAUUGUAGUCUGCAACUCGACUACAUGAAGCUGGAAUCGCUAGUAAUCGUAGAUCAGCAUGCUACGGUGAAUACGUUCCCGGGUCU